Molecule: ribosomal RNA, 492 nt
Filed under: uncultured bacterium
Lineage: Bacteria
Description: partial 16S ribosomal RNA
Rfam family: Bacterial small subunit ribosomal RNA
Source: RNAcentral
AUUGAACGCUGGCGGUAGGCCUAACACAUGCAAGUCGAACGGCAGCACAGUAAUAGCUUGCUCUUACGGUUGGCGAGUGGCGGACGGGUGAGGAAUACAUCGGAAUCUACUUUUUCGUGGGGGAGAACGUAGGGAAACUUACGCUAAUACCGCAUACUACCGACGGGUGAAAGCAGGGGAUCUUCGGACCUUGCGCGAGGGAAUGAGCCGAUGUCGGAUUAGCGAGUGGUCGGGGUAAAGGCCCACCAAGGCGACGAUCCGUAGCUGGUCUGAGAGGCUGAUCGGCCACACUGGAACUGAGACACGGUCCAGACUCCUACGGGAGGCAGCAGUGGGCAAUAUUGGACAAUGGGCGCAAGCCUGAUCCAGCCAUACCGCGUGGGUGAAGAAGGCCUUCGGGUUGUAAAGCCCUUUUGUUGGGAAAGAAAAGCAGCCGGUUAAUACCCCGCUGUUCUGACGGUACCCAAAGAAUAAGCACCGGCUAACUUCGUG